Molecule: ribosomal RNA, 754 nt
Filed under: uncultured cyanobacterium
Lineage: Bacteria; Bacillati; Cyanobacteriota
Description: bacterial SSU rRNA
Rfam family: Bacterial small subunit ribosomal RNA
Source: RNAcentral
AACGGUCUUUUAGGAGACAGUGGCGGACGGGUGAGUAACGCGUAAGAAUCUACCUUCAGGUUGGGGACAACCACUGGAAACGGUGGCUAAUGCCGAAUGUGCCGAGAGGUGAAAGGCUUGCUGCCUGAAGAAGAGCUUGCGUCUGAUUAGCUAGUUGGUAGUGUAAGAGACUACCAAGGCGACGAUCAGUAGCUGGUCUGAGAGGAUGAUCAGCCACACUGGGACUGAGACACGGCCCAGACUCCUACGGGAGGCAGCAGUGGGGAAUUUUCCGCAAUGGGCGAAAGCCUGACGGAGCAAUACCGCGUGAGGGAGGAAGGCUCUUGGGUUGUAAACCUCUUUUCUCAGGGAAGAACAGAAUGACGGUACCUGAGGAAUAAGCAUCGGCUAACUCCGUGCCAGCAGCCGCGGUAAUACGGAGGAUGCAAGCGUUAUCCGGAAUGAUUGGGCGUAAAGGGUCCGCAGGUGGCAUUGUAAGUCUGCUGUUAAAGAGUUUGGCUCAACCAAAUAAGAGCAGUGGAAACUACAAAGCUAGAGUGUGGUCGGGGCAGAGGGAAUUCCUGGUGUAGCGGUGAAAUGCGUAGAUAUCAGGAAGAACACCAGUGGCGAAGGCGCUCUGCUAGGCCGAGACUGACACUGAGGGACGAAAGCUAGGGGAGCGAAUGGGAUUAGAUACCCCAGUAGUCCUAGCCGUAAACGAUGGAUACUAGGCGUAGCUCGUAUCGACCCGAGCUGUGCCGAAGCUAACGCGUUA